AUCGCUUCUCGGCCUUUUGGCUAAGAUCAAGUGUAGUAUCUGUUCUUAUCAGUUUAAUAUCUGAUACGUUCUCUAUCCGAGAACAACAUAUUAAAGGGGUUUUUGGAGCCAGGAGUUGGAGUGGGAGCUUGCUCCGUCCACUCCACGCAUCGACCUGGUAUUGCAGUGUUUCCAGGAGUGGUGCACCCCUC
Molecule: small nuclear RNA, 191 nt
Organism: Balaenoptera musculus (blue whale)
Lineage: Eukaryota; Metazoa; Chordata; Mammalia; Artiodactyla; Balaenopteridae
Gene: U2
Rfam family: U2 spliceosomal RNA
About the family: U2 is a small nuclear RNA (snRNA) component of the spliceosome (involved in pre-mRNA splicing).
Source: Ensembl